This 400-nucleotide unclassified non-coding RNA is filed under the name soil metagenome. RNAcentral's name for it is "partial contains 5.8S ribosomal RNA, internal transcribed spacer 2, and large subunit ribosomal RNA". The stretch from base 1 to 122 matches the Rfam family "5.8S ribosomal RNA", at positions 35 to 154 of the family's 154-position model. The record is from RNAcentral.
GAUGAAGAACGUAGCGAAAUGCGAUACUUGGUGUGAAUUGCAGAAUCCCGUGAACCAUCGAGUCUUUGAACGCAAGUUGCGCCUCAAGCCAUUAGGUUGAGGGCACGUCUGCCUGGGCGUCACAUAUCGUUGCCUGAUGCCAGUUUCCUCGUGAUGGGUGACUGUGCAGGGCGAAUGAUGGCUUCCCGUGAGCAUUGUUGCCUCAUGGUUGGUUGAAAAUUGAGUCCUUGGUAGGGAGCGCCGUGAUAGAUGGUGGUUGAGUGACGAACGAGACCCAAUCAUGUGAGACCCCUACCGAAUUUGGCCUUCAUGACCCACAUGCGUCUUUGGAACGCUCAUGACGAGACCUCAGGUCAGGCGGGGCUACCCGCUGAGUUUAAGCAUAUCAAUAAACGGAGGA